RNAcentral lists this ribosomal RNA (2029 nucleotides) under human gut metagenome. RNAcentral describes it as "eukaryotic LSU rRNA". It matches the Rfam family "Eukaryotic large subunit ribosomal RNA", at positions 1 to 2426 of the family's 3401-position model. The record is from RNAcentral.
GGAAUGUGUUAUGAGUUAUUAGUUAUAUUUAUUAAUAUAGUAAAUUGUAUAAUAAGGAAAAAAGAUAAAUUUCUUUAAAACGAUGAAUGAAUUCUAAGAGAGGAAUAUAUUAGAAAUAGUAUAUUUCAAUUUCGAAGAAUAAAAGAAACAUUCGAUGAUAGAAAGGAAUUUAAAAAAGGAUUUAAAGAUGAUGUUAAAAGAAAGCAUUAAUUUAGAUUCAGACUUUUUAAGAUAGUACUUAUCUACCCGUCUUGAAACACGGACCAAGGAGUCUAACAUGGAUGCGAAUGUGAAAGGGAAUAAUCCCUAGAAUACAUGGAGAGAAAUCGAAACACUAUGACGAUCAGAUAAUGAUUAGCAGUAGUAUCUUUUUCAAACGGAAAAGAAGAAGUAAACAUGUUAGGACCCGAAAGAUGGUGAACUAAACUUGAAGGAUUUGAAGCCGAAGGAAACUUUGGUGGAAGAAUCAAGAAGUGUUAACGUGCAAAUUACUUUCGAUAUUUGAGUUUAGGGGCGAAAGACUCAUCGAACCAUCUAGUAGCUGGUUCCACCUGAAUAUUCCCUUAGGAAGGUCAAAGUGGUAAUAGUAUUGAUUGGUAAAGAUAAUGAUUAGGUGUAAUGGUGGAGAUAAUCUGUCAACAUCUUGUCAAACUAUGAAUGAACAAAGAAGUUUGGAAUGUUAGUAACGCUAACUUAUUUUGAACUGAUAUAAGUACACUUUGAAUCGGCCAAGUCUGGUAAGCAGGACUGGCGAUGCGGGAUGAACCGAACGUAGAGAUAAAGUGCCAAAGGGAAACAUAAGGAAAACCAUAAAAGGCAUUCAUUCAUAUUGACAAUAGGACGGUGGCCAUGGAAGUCGGAAACCGCCAAGGAGUGUGUAACAACUCACCUAUCGAAUGAAUGAGUCCUGAAAAUGGAUGGCGUUAUAAUUUCCGUCACUGAUGCUCUACCAUUACUUUGAAGAGAAAGUAAUGAGUAAGGAAACGACAUGGCGUAAAGAUCACGAUAGUAAGAAAGCUUUUGAGUAAUCAAGAGUGAAACGAUCUUUAGUGCAGAUCUUGGUGGUAGUAGCAAAUACUAAGAAGAAGGAAAACACAUCUUAGAACUGAAGAGGAGAAAGGUUCCUAAACAACAUUACUUGGAUUAGGGUGAAUCGAUCCUAAAUGACAGAUGGAAAUCCUUAUAAGAAAUAUAUUAAAAUUUUAUAUCAAUGAUAUAAGAUAAUAAGAAGGAUUAAAAGGGAAUAAGAUUAAUAGUUCUUAAUCAAAAGAAUUUAAUGUUUAAUAUAUAAAUAGAUAACAGUCGUAAGACAGUUAACUAUAAAUAUAUCAACAUAUAAAAAAAUGGUAACAUAUAAAUGAACUUUAAAAGAGAUUAGUAUUAACUAAGGAAGAGUUCUCUUUUCUUCUUAACAAAGCUGCAUAUUGCAUUUAAAUGAAUCAAUCAGAGAAAUGGAAUAUAUUAGCAUUGGAAGACAAUUGUCAUAUGAAUGAUUGGAAUAGGAUAAUACUAGUUUUCAUAAAAAUUAAAGGGAAUACAUAAAGAAAGAAUUCUUUUGAUCGUACUCAUAACCGCAACAGGUCUCCAAGAAUUAGAAUCUUUAGUUAAAUAGAAUAACGCAAGUAAGGGAAGUCGGCAACAUAGCUCUGUACGUUCGCAAGAAAGAGUAGCUCUAAUGAUUGACAAGAAUCAUCUUGUGUACCAAUUAAAUUAGAACUUAUAAAGAUUAGGGGAAUCCGACUGUUUAAUAAAAACAUAGCAUUCUGAAGAAUCUAAAAGGUGCAAAACAGAAUGUGAUUUCUGCCCAGUGCUCUGAAUGUCAAGGUAAAGAAAUUUGCUUAAGCGCGGGUUAACGGCGGGAGUAACUAUGACUCUCUUAAGGUAGCCAAAUGCCUCGUCAUCUAAUUAGUGACGCGCAUGAAUGGAUCACCGUGAUUCCCACUGUCCCUAUUUGCAAUCUAGUGAAACCACAGUCAAGGGAACGGGCUUGAAAAGAACGGCGGGGAAAGAAGACCCUGUUGAGCUUGAC